This 253-nucleotide ribosomal RNA is filed under the name uncultured bacterium. RNAcentral describes it as "partial 16S ribosomal RNA". It matches the Rfam family "Bacterial small subunit ribosomal RNA", at positions 524 to 776 of the family's 1533-position model. The record is from RNAcentral.
UACGUAGGGGGCUAGCGUUAUCCGGAUUUACUGGGCGUAAAGGGAGCGUAGGCGGACUUUUAAGUGAGAUGUGAAAUACUCGGGCUCAACUUGAGUGCUGCAUUUCAAACUGGAAGUCUAGAGUGCAGGAGAGGAGAAUGGAAUUCCUAGUGUAGCGGUGAAAUGCGUAGAGAUUAGGAAGAACACCAGUGGCGAAGGCGAUUCUCUGGACUGUAACUGACGCUGAGGCUCGAAAGCGUGGGGAGCAAACAGG